This 490-nucleotide ribosomal RNA is filed under the name uncultured bacterium. Its description in RNAcentral is "partial 16S ribosomal RNA". It matches the Rfam family "Bacterial small subunit ribosomal RNA", at positions 29 to 507 of the family's 1533-position model. The record is from RNAcentral.
AGUGAACGCUGGCGGUAGGCCUAACACAUGCAAGUCGAACGGCAGCACAGGAGAGCUUGCUCUCUGGGUGGCGAGUGGCGGACGGGUGAGGAAUACAUCGGAAUCUACCUUUUCGUGGGGGAUAACGUAGGGAAACUUACGCUAAUACCGCAUACGACCUACGGGUGAAAGUGGGGGACCGCAAGGCCUCACGCGAUUAGAUGAGCCGAUGUCCGAUUAGCUAGUUGGCGGGGUAAUGGCCCACCAAGGCGACGAUCGGUAGCUGGUCUGAGAGGAUGAUCAGCCACACUGGAACUGAGAAACGGUCCAGACUCCUACGGGAGGCAGCAGUGGGGAAUAUUGGACGAUGGGCGCAAGCCUGAUCCAGCCAUACCGCGUGGGUGAAGAAGGCCUUCGGGUUGUAAAGCCCUUUUGUUGGGAAAGAAAUCCUGUCGAUUAAUACUCGGUGGGGAUGACGGUACCCAAAGAAUAAGCACCGGCUAACUUCGUG